UGCGUAGGCGGUCGCGCAAGUCUGAUGUGAAAUCUUCGCCGCUCAACGGGAAGAGGUCAUUGGAAACUGCGUGACUUGAGUGUGGUAGAGGCAGACGGAAUUCCUGGUGUAGCGGUGGAAUGUGUAGAUAUCAGGAAGAACACCGGUGGCGAAGGCGGUCUGCUGGGCCAUCACUGACGCUGAGGCACGAAAGCGUGGGGAGCAAACG
RNAcentral lists this ribosomal RNA (208 nucleotides) under uncultured bacterium. Its description in RNAcentral is "partial 16S ribosomal RNA". It matches the Rfam family "Bacterial small subunit ribosomal RNA", at positions 568 to 774 of the family's 1533-position model. The record is from RNAcentral.